Molecule: long non-coding RNA, 202 nt
Filed under: Elaeis guineensis (African oil palm)
Lineage: Eukaryota; Viridiplantae; Streptophyta; Magnoliopsida; Arecales; Arecaceae
Description: long non-coding RNA (EGUI_LNC018538)
Source: RNAcentral
CCACCUAAUUCUACUUCUUAGAAUGCAAGACUUGGAUGCUUUUUUAUUGGGACCUUUAGUACUUAAUUUGUUGUUUGAUGUGUUACUACUUAAGCUCUUUUCAUCCCUGAAGAAUAUUUUAACAUUUGUUCACCUAAUAUAAUCUCUUGUUAUAUUUCCCAAGGCAUCCCCUACUUCUUGGGUUUUUCGAUUUAUACUUGAG